AUUGAACGCUGGCGGCAUGCCUUACACAUGCAAGUCGAACGGCAGCACGGGAGCAAUCCUGGUGGCGAGUGGCGAACGGGUGAGUAAUAUAUCGGAACGUGCCCGGUCGUGGGGAUAACGUAGCGAAAGCUACGCUAGUACCGCAUACGAUCUACGGAUGAAAGCGGGGGAUCGCAAGACCUCGCGCGAUUGGAGCGGCCGAUAUCAGAUUAGGUAGUUGGUGAGGUAAAGGCUCACCAAGCCGACGAUCUGUAGCUGGUCUGAGAGGACGACCAGCCACACUGGGACUGAGACACGGCCCAGACUCCUACGGGAGGCAGCAGUGGGGAAUUUUGGACAAUGGGCGCAAGCCUGAUCCAGCAAUGCCGCGUGCAGGAUGAAGGCC
This 385-nucleotide ribosomal RNA is filed under the name uncultured bacterium. Its description in RNAcentral is "bacterial SSU rRNA". It matches the Rfam family "Bacterial small subunit ribosomal RNA", at positions 29 to 416 of the family's 1533-position model. The record is from RNAcentral.